GCUUCUAAAGGAUAACAGUUCAUCCGCUGGUCUUAGGAACCAGAGACUCUUGGCGCAAAUCCAAGUAGUAGCU
RNAcentral lists this transfer RNA (73 nucleotides) under Crossorhombus kobensis (Kobe flounder). RNAcentral's name for it is "tRNA-Leu". It matches the Rfam family "tRNA". From Rfam's summary of the family: Transfer RNA (tRNA) molecules are approximately 80 nucleotides in length. Their secondary structure includes four short double-helical elements and three loops (D, anti-codon, and T loops). The record is from RNAcentral. Lineage: Eukaryota; Metazoa; Chordata; Actinopteri; Pleuronectiformes; Bothidae.